RNAcentral lists this ribosomal RNA (213 nucleotides) under uncultured bacterium. Its description in RNAcentral is "partial 16S ribosomal RNA". It matches the Rfam family "Bacterial small subunit ribosomal RNA", at positions 1287 to 1500 of the family's 1533-position model. The record is from RNAcentral.
CUCAGUUCAGAUUGCAGGCUGCAACCCGCCUGCAUGAAGUCGGAAUUGCUAGUAAUCGCGGAUCAGCAUGCCGCGGUGAAUACGUUCCCGGGCCUUGUACACACCGCCCGUCACACCAUGGGAGCCGGUAAUACCCGAAGUCAGUAGUCCAACCUCGUGAGGACGCUGCCGAAGGUAGGAUUGGCGACUGGGGUGAAGUCGUAACAAGGUAUC